CAGUAUAUAGUUUAAAAAAUGUGGAUUUUGGAUAUCUAAGAUAUGUAAUUUGAUUACAUUAUACUGA
This 67-nucleotide transfer RNA is filed under the name Atkinsoniella uniguttata. Its description in RNAcentral is "tRNA-Pro". The record is from RNAcentral. Lineage: Eukaryota; Metazoa; Arthropoda; Insecta; Hemiptera; Cicadellidae.